UACGGAGGGAGCAAGCGUUAUUCGGAAUCACUGGGCGUAAAGGACGCGUAGGCGGGUUAGUAAGUCAGGUGUGAAAUCCUACAGCUCAACUGUAGAACUGCACUUGAAACUACUAACCUAGAGUAUGGAAGGGGCAGAUGGAAUUAGUGGUGUAGGGGUAAAAUCCGUAGAUAUCACUAGGAAUACCGAAAGCGAAGGCGAUCUGCUGGGACAUUACUGACGCUGAGGCGUGAAAGCGUGGGGAGCAAACAGG
This 253-nucleotide ribosomal RNA is filed under the name uncultured bacterium. RNAcentral's name for it is "partial 16S ribosomal RNA". It matches the Rfam family "Bacterial small subunit ribosomal RNA", at positions 524 to 776 of the family's 1533-position model. The record is from RNAcentral.